This 425-nucleotide ribosomal RNA is filed under the name uncultured bacterium. RNAcentral's name for it is "SSU rRNA". It matches the Rfam family "Bacterial small subunit ribosomal RNA", at positions 370 to 808 of the family's 1533-position model. The record is from RNAcentral.
CAUGGGCGCAGCCUGAUGCAGCGACGCCGCGUGAGGGAUGGAGGCCUUCCGGUUGUAAACCUCUUUUAUCGGGGAGCAAGCGAGAGUGAGUUUACCCGUUGAAUAAGCACCGGCUAACUACGUGCCAGCAGCCGCGGUAAUACGUAGGUGGCAAGCGUUGUCCGGAUUUACUGGGCGUAAAGGGAGCGUAGGCGGACUUUUAAGUGAGAUGUGAAAUACCCGGGCUCAACUUGGGUGCUGCAUUUCAAACUGGAAGUCUAGAGUGCAGGAGAGGAGAAUGGAAUUCCUAGUGUAGCGGUGAAAUGCGUAGAGAUUAGGAAGAACACCAGUGGCGAAGGCGAUUCUCUGGACUGUAACUGACGCUGAGGCUCGAAAGCGUGGGGAGCAAACAGGAUUAGAUACCCUGGUAGUCCAAGGGCGAAUUC